UUGUGUAUCUGAGUGUUUCU
Molecule: microRNA, 20 nt
Filed under: Ciona intestinalis (vase tunicate)
Lineage: Eukaryota; Metazoa; Chordata; Ascidiacea; Phlebobranchia; Cionidae
Description: cin-miR-4047-3p
Source: miRBase by way of RNAcentral